This 208-nucleotide ribosomal RNA is filed under the name uncultured bacterium. RNAcentral's name for it is "partial 16S ribosomal RNA". It matches the Rfam family "Bacterial small subunit ribosomal RNA", at positions 568 to 774 of the family's 1533-position model. The record is from RNAcentral.
CUCGUAGGCGGUUCAACAAGUCGGUCGUGAAAGCCCGGGGCUCAACCCCGGGAUGCCGGUCGAAACUGUUGUGACUUGAGUUCGGUAGAGGUGAGUGGAAUUCUCGGUGUAGCGGUGGAAUGCGCAGAUAUCGAGAGGAACACCCGUAGCGAAGGCGGCUCACUGGGCCGAUACUGACGCUGAGGAGCGAAAGCGUGGGGAGCAAACA